AGCGAACGCUGGCGGCAGGCUUAACACAUGCAAGUCGAGCGGGCAUCCUUGUGGUGUCAGCGGCAGACGGGUGAGUAACGCGUGGGAACGUGCCCUUCGGUUCGGAAUAACUCAGGGAAACUUGAGCUAAUACCGGAUACGUUCGAGAGCAGAAAGGUUUAUCUGCCGAAGGAUCGGCCCGCGUCUGAUUAGCUAGUUGGUGAGGUUAUGGCUCACCAAGGCGACGAUCAGUAGCUGGUCUGAGAGCAUGAUCAGCCACACUGGGACUGAGACACGGCCCAGACUCAUACGGGAGGCAGCAGUGGUGAAUAUUGGACAAUGGGGGCAACCCUGAUCCAGCCAUGCCGCGUGAGUGAUGACGGCCUUAGGGUUGUAAAGCUCUUUUCUCCGGGACGAUAAUGACGGUACCGGAGGAAUAAGCCCCGGCUAACUUCGU
This 436-nucleotide ribosomal RNA is filed under the name uncultured bacterium. Its description in RNAcentral is "partial 16S ribosomal RNA". It matches the Rfam family "Bacterial small subunit ribosomal RNA", at positions 29 to 506 of the family's 1533-position model. The record is from RNAcentral.